Non-coding RNA from Myotis davidii, 81 nucleotides. The record is from Rfam. Lineage: Eukaryota; Metazoa; Chordata; Mammalia; Chiroptera; Vespertilionidae.
AGGCCCUGAGAGAGAGGCAGGGUCUGAUCCGCAGCCUCUGUGGGAGCUGUUGGUCAGCUGUUGCCUCUCUCUCUCCGAGCU